CAGCCGCCGCGGUAAUACGUAGGUGGCAAGCGUUGUCCGGAAUUAUUGGGCGUAAAGCGCGCGCAGGUGGUUUAAUAAGUCUGAUGUGAAAGCCCACGGCUCAACCGUGGAGGGUCAUUGGAAACUGUUAAACUUGAGUGCAGGAGAGAAAAGUGGAAUUCCUAGUGUAGCGGUGAAAUGCGUAGAGAUUAGGAGGAACACCAGUGGCGAAGGCGGCUUUUUGGCCUGUAACUGACACUGAGGCGCGAAAGCGUGGGGAGCAAACAGGAUUAGAUACCCCAGUAGUCCCUGUCUCUUAUAC
Molecule: ribosomal RNA, 301 nt
Filed under: uncultured bacterium
Lineage: Bacteria
Description: partial 16S ribosomal RNA
Rfam family: Bacterial small subunit ribosomal RNA
Source: RNAcentral